Molecule: ribosomal RNA, 433 nt
Filed under: uncultured bacterium
Lineage: Bacteria
Description: partial 16S ribosomal RNA
Rfam family: Bacterial small subunit ribosomal RNA
Source: RNAcentral
AGCGAACGCUGGCGGCAGGCCUAACACAUGCAAGUCGAACGAACCUUUCGGGGUUAGUGGCGGACGGGUGAGUAACACGUGGGAACGUGCCUUUAGGUUCGGAAUAACUCAGGGAAACUUGUGCUAAUACCGAAUGUGCCCUUCGGGGGAAAGAUUUAUCGCCUUUAGAGCGGCCCGCGUCUGAUUAGCUAGUUGGUUGAGGUAAUGGCUCACCAAGGCGACGAUCAGUAGCUGGUCUGAGAGGAUGAUCAGCCACAUUGGACUGAGACACGGCCCAAACUCCUACGGGAGGCAGCAGUGGGGAAUCUUGCGCAAUGGGCGAAAGCCUGACGCAGCCAUGCCGCGUGAAUGAUGAAGGUCUUAGGAUUGUAAAAUUCUUUCACCGGGGACGAUAAUGACGGUACCCGGAGAAGAAGCCCCGGCUAACUUCGUG